RNAcentral lists this ribosomal RNA (460 nucleotides) under uncultured bacterium. RNAcentral describes it as "partial 16S ribosomal RNA". It matches the Rfam family "Bacterial small subunit ribosomal RNA", at positions 338 to 795 of the family's 1533-position model. The record is from RNAcentral.
CCUACGGGAGGCAGCAGUGGGGAAUAUUGGGCAAUGGAGGAAACUCUGACCCAGCAAUGCCGCGUGAAUGAAGAAGGCCCUAUGGGUCGUAAACCUCUUUUGUCAGGGAGCAAAGGCGUCCACGUGUGGACGAGAGGAGAGUACCUGAAGAAAAAGCAUCGGCUAACUCCGUGCCAGCAGCCGCGGUAAUACGGAGGAUGCGAGCGUUAUCCGGAUUUAUUGGGUUUAAAGGGUGCGUAGGCGGAGUGUCAAGUCAGCGGUAAAAUUUCGGGGCUCAACCCCGUCGUGCCGUUGAAACUGACGCCCUUGAGUGAGUGAGAAGUAAGCGGAAUGCGUGGUGUAGCGGUGAAAUGCAUAGAUAUCACGCAGAACGCCGAUUGCGAAGGCAGCUUACCGGCGCUCAACUGACGCUGAGGCACGAAAGUGCGGGUAUCGAACAGGAUUAGAUACCCGGGUAGUC